Long non-coding RNA from Mesocricetus auratus (golden hamster), 569 nucleotides. RefSeq lists it as uncharacterized. The transcript is spliced from 3 exons. The record is from RefSeq and is a predicted model, not a curated record. NCBI's taxonomy places the organism in Eukaryota, Metazoa, Chordata, Mammalia, Rodentia, Cricetidae.
UGGAACCCUGUUGGCCAGCAACUCAAUUGAAUGCAACACAGUCCUGGUACUGGUGACGAGAGAUGGUAUAGAUGUUCCAUGGCCAUCCUUAGAUGAUCCAAAUGACACACAAGAGUAAUUUCCUCAGAAUCAAGAACACUCCUGGAAAUAACUAGUACAACUGGAAAAGAAGGUCUCGAAUCCACUGAUGACAAAAGGCACAUUGAAAGAAGUUUUGACAUGGUGUGGAUCCCACCCUUCUAGAAAACUCCUACUAUAUCUGAAGAGAGAGCCUCUGACUGCAGGCCUAGUGAAUGUCCUGGUGUCAAUUUGCAUGUUUAAUAAUGCACUCCCAUUGUGGAAAUGACUGUGAUAUUGCAGCUGAGCCCCAAACUCCACUAGGCAGUUAAUCUGUGGAUGAAAACUUAAUCCAUGUUGUAAUGGCUUUUCCAUUGGGUCCUCGGUACUAUGUCCUCCAAUGACCAACCGUUUUACAUGCUGGGGAACAAUGCUCUCCACUCAGCUUAACAUACACCCUGAAUUGCUAUUAAUUAUCAAAGGUUAACCAUGGUAAAAUUUUUUGAAAAGAA